UACGUAGGGUGCAAGCGUUGUCCGGAAUUAUUGGGCGUAAAGAGCUCGUAGGCGGCUUGUCGCGUCGGCUGUGAAAACCUGGGGCUCAACCCCGGGCCUGCAGCCGAUACGGGCAAGCUAGAAUUCGGUAGGGGAGACUGGAAUUCCUGGUGUAGCGGUGAAAUGCGCAGAUAUCAGGAGGAACACCGGUGGCGAAGGCGGGUCUCUGGGCCGAGAUUGACGCUGAUGCGCGAAAGCCAGGGGAGCAAACGGG
This 253-nucleotide ribosomal RNA is filed under the name uncultured bacterium. RNAcentral's name for it is "partial 16S ribosomal RNA". It matches the Rfam family "Bacterial small subunit ribosomal RNA", at positions 524 to 776 of the family's 1533-position model. The record is from RNAcentral.